AACCAACUAAUCACAAGGUGCGUUUAAUGAAACAAAGAAGAAAUCCUAAAGAAAGAAGGAAGCGCGCAAAAACUAGAAAGAAGACACUGACAAGUUGGAAAGUAACACAUGAACUAGGUUUUGUGCUACUUGAAAAAUAUCACCUAGAGUAUAGACACAAGCAAACAAUACUCCAGCAAUGUAAAGGAAGCAAAAGCAAGCUUAAACCAAAA
Molecule: long non-coding RNA, 212 nt
Filed under: Manihot esculenta (cassava)
Lineage: Eukaryota; Viridiplantae; Streptophyta; Magnoliopsida; Malpighiales; Euphorbiaceae
Description: long non-coding RNA (MESC_LNC010338)
Source: RNAcentral